Molecule: ribosomal RNA, 1260 nt
Filed under: Geobacillus sp.
Lineage: Bacteria; Bacillati; Bacillota; Bacilli; Caryophanales; Anoxybacillaceae
Description: bacterial SSU rRNA
Rfam family: Bacterial small subunit ribosomal RNA
Source: RNAcentral
GCGUGCCUAAUACAUGCAAGUCGAGCGGACCAAAACGGAGCUUGCUCUGGUUUGGUCAGCGGCGGACGGGUGAGUAACACGUGGGCAACCUGCCCGCAAGACCGGGAUAACUCCGGGAAACCGGAGCUAAUACCGGAUAACACCGAAGACCGCAUGGUCUUUGGUUGAAAGGCGGCCUUUGGCUGUCACUUGCGGAUGGGCCCGCGGCGCAUUAGCUAGUUGGUGAGGUAACGGCUCACCAAGGCGACGAUGCGUAGCCGGCCUGAGAGGGUGACCGGCCACACUGGGACUGAGACACGGCCCAGACUCCUACGGGAGGCAGCAGUAGGGAAUCUUCCGCAAUGGGCGAAAGCCUGACGGAGCGACGCCGCGUGAGCGAAGAAGGCCUUCGGGUCGUAAAGCUCUGUUGUGAGGGACGAAGGAGCGCCGUUCGAAGAGGGCGGCGCGGUGACGGUACCUCACGAGGAAGCCCCGGCUAACUACGUGCCAGCAGCCGCGGUAAUACGUAGGGGGCGAGCGUUGUCCGGAAUUAUUGGGCGUAAAGCGCGCGCAGGCGGUUCCUUAAGUCUGAUGUGAAAGCCCACGGCUCAACCGUGGAGGGUCAUUGGAAACUGGGGGACUUGAGUGCAGGAGAGGAGAGCGGAAUUCCACGUGUAGCGGUGAAAUGCGUAGAGAUGUGGAGGAACACCAGUGGCGAAGGCGGCUCUCUGGCCUGCAACUGACGCUGAGGCGCGAAAGCGUGGGGAGCAAACAGGAUUAGAUACCCUGGUAGUCCACGCCGUAAACGAUGAGUGCUAAGUGUUAGAGGGGUCACACCCUUUAGUGCUGCAGCUAACGCGAUAAGCACUCCGCCUGGGGAGUACGGCCGCAAGGCUGAAACUCAAAGGAAUUGACGGGGGCCCGCACAAGCGGUGGAGCAGGUGGUUUAAUUCGAAGCAACGCGAAGAACCUUACCAGGUCUUGACAUCCCCUGACAACCCAAGAGAUUGGGCGUUCCCCCUUCGGGGGGACAGGGUGACAGGUGGUGCAGGGUUGUCGUCAGCUCGUGUCGUGAGAUGUUGGGUUAAGUCCCGCAACGAGCGCAACCCUCGCCUCUAGUUGCCAGCACGAAAGUGGGCACUCUAGAGGGACUGCCGCCGACAAGUCGGAGGAAGGUGGGGAUGACGUCAAAUCAUCAUGCCCCUAAUGACCUGGGCUACACACGUGCUACAAUGGGCGGUACAAAGGGCUGCGAACCGCGAGGGGACGAAUCCAAAAGCC